GUGGCUGUGGCUCAGUGGUAGAGUGUUUGUUCAGUACAUGUAGGGUGCUGGGUUCCAUCCUCAGCACAACA
Molecule: transfer RNA, 71 nt
Filed under: Marmota monax (woodchuck)
Lineage: Eukaryota; Metazoa; Chordata; Mammalia; Rodentia; Sciuridae
Description: tRNA.Thr
Source: RNAcentral